This is a non-coding RNA of Candidatus Peregrinibacteria bacterium CG1_02_54_53, 73 nucleotides long. The record is from Rfam. Lineage: Bacteria; Candidatus Peregrinibacteriota.
GGGGCUGUAGCUCAGUUGGUAGAGCACCUGCUUUGCAAGCAGGGGGUCAGGAGUUCGAAUCUCCUCAGCUCCA